This 435-nucleotide ribosomal RNA is filed under the name bacterium Ellin6073. RNAcentral describes it as "bacterial SSU rRNA". It matches the Rfam family "Bacterial small subunit ribosomal RNA", at positions 28 to 480 of the family's 1533-position model. The record is from RNAcentral. Lineage: Bacteria; Bacillati; Actinomycetota; Actinomycetes; Mycobacteriales; Nocardiaceae.
GACGAACGCUGGCGGCGUGCUUAACACAUGCAAGUCGAACGGUAAGGCCCUUCGGGGUACACGAGUGGCGAACGGGUGAGUAACACGUGGGUGAUCUGCCCUGCACUUCGGAAUAAGCCCGGGAAACUGGGUCUAAUACCGGAUAGGACUGCGCGGUGCAUGCCGUGUGGUGGAAAGAUUUAUCGGUGCAGGAUGGGCCCGCGGCCUAUCAGCUUGUUGGUGGGGUAAUGGCCUACCAAGGCGACGACGGGUAGCCGGCCUGAGAGGGCGACCGGCCACACUGGGACUGAGACACGGCCCAGACUCCUACGGGAGGCAGCAGUGGGGAAUAUUGCACAAUGGGCGCAAGCCUGAUGCAGCGACGCCGCGUGAGGGAUGACGGCCUUCGGGUUGUAAACCUCUUUCAGCAGGGACGAAGCGUGAGUGACGGUACCU